GACGAACGCUGGCGGCGUGCUUAACACAUGCAAGUCGAACGGAAAGGCCCUGCUUUUGUGGGGUGCUCGAGUGGCGAACGGGUGAGUAACACGUGAGUGACCUGCCCUUGACUUUGGGAUAACUUCAGGAAACUGGGGCUAAUACCGGAUAGGAGCUCCUGCUGCAUGGUGGGGGUUGGAAAGUUUCGGCGGUUGGGGAUGGACUCGCGGCUUAUCAGCUUGUUGGUGGGGUAGUGGCUUACCAAGGCUUUGACGGGUAGCCGGCCUGAGAGGGUGACCGGCCACAUUGGGACUGAGAUACGGCCCAGACUCCUACGGGAGGCAGCAGUGGGGAAUAUUGCACAAUGGGCGGAAGCCUGAUGCAGCAACGCCGCGUGCGGGAUGACGGCCUUCGGGUUGUAAACCGCUUUCGCCUGUGACGAAGCGUGAGUGACGGUAAUGGGUAAAGAAGCACCGGCUAACUACGCG
This 468-nucleotide ribosomal RNA is filed under the name uncultured bacterium. Its description in RNAcentral is "partial 16S ribosomal RNA". It matches the Rfam family "Bacterial small subunit ribosomal RNA", at positions 28 to 507 of the family's 1533-position model. The record is from RNAcentral.